Molecule: ribosomal RNA, 94 nt
Filed under: Staphylococcus epidermidis
Lineage: Bacteria; Bacillati; Bacillota; Bacilli; Caryophanales; Staphylococcaceae
Description: partial 23S ribosomal RNA
Rfam family: Bacterial large subunit ribosomal RNA
Source: RNAcentral
UCCCUCGAAGAUGACGAGGUUAAUAGGUUUGAGGUGGAAGCGUGGUGACACGUGGAGCUGACGAAUACUAAUCGAUCGAAGACUUAAUCAAUUU